Molecule: ribosomal RNA, 726 nt
Filed under: uncultured bacterium
Lineage: Bacteria
Description: bacterial SSU rRNA
Rfam family: Bacterial small subunit ribosomal RNA
Source: RNAcentral
UACCUUCGGGUAUUGAGGAUGGCGGACGGGUGAGUAACGCGUAAGGAACUUGCCUCUUGGUCUGGGACAACUGUUGGAAACGACAGCUAAUACCGGAUAUUAUGAGAUUCUCGCAUGGGAAACUUAUGAAAGCUAUAUGCGCCAAGAGAGAGCCUUGCGUUCCAUUAGCUAGUUGGUGGGGUAACGGCCCACCAAGGCGACGAUGGAUAGCCGGCCUGAGAGGGUGAACGGCCACAAGGGGACUGAGACACGGCCCUUACUCCUACGGGAGGCAGCAGUGGGGAAUAUUGGACAAUGGGCCACAAGCCUGAUCCAGCAAUUCUGUGUGCACGAUGAAGGUCUUCGGAUUGUAAAGUGCUUUCAGUUGGGAAGAAGAAAGUGACGGUACCAACAGAAGAAGCGACGGCUAAAUACGUGCCAGCAGCCGCGGUAAUACGUAUGUCGCAAGCGUUAUCCGGAUUUAUUGGGCGUAAAGCGCGUCUAGGCGGAAAAAUAAGUCUGAUGUUAAAAUGCGGGGCUCAACUCCGUAUUGCGUUGGAAACUGUUUUUCUAGAGUACUGGAGAGGUGGGCGGAACUACAAGUGUAGAGGUGAAAUUCGUAGAUAUUUGUAGGAAUGCCGAUGGAGAAGUCAGCUCACUGGACAGAUACUGACGCUAAAGCGCGAAAGCGUGGGGAGCAAACAGGAUUAGAUACCCUGGUAGUCCACGCCGUAAACGAUGAUCACU